Molecule: ribosomal RNA, 447 nt
Filed under: uncultured bacterium
Lineage: Bacteria
Description: bacterial SSU rRNA
Rfam family: Bacterial small subunit ribosomal RNA
Source: RNAcentral
CCAGACUCCUACGGGAGGCAGCAGUGGGGAAUAUUGCACAAUGGGGGAAACCCUGAUGCAGCGACGCCGCGUGGGCGACGAAGCGCUCCGGCGCGUAAAGCCCUGUCAGCAGGGAAGAACAAAGACAGUACCUGACCAAGAAGCCCCGGCUAACUACGUGCCAGCAGCCGCGGUAAUACGUAGGGGGCAAGCGUUAUCCGGAUUUAUUGGGUUUAAAGGGUGCGUAGGCGGAAUGCCAAGUCAGCGGUAAAAUGGCGGGGCUCAACCUCGCUCCGCCGUUGAAACUGGCGUUCUUGAGUGGGCGAGAAGUAUGCGGAAUGCGUGGUGUAGCGGUGAAAUGCAUAGAUAUCACGCAGAACUCCGAUUGCGAAGGCAGCAUACCGGCGCCCAACUGACGCUGAAGCACGAAAGCGUGGGUAUCGAACAGGAUUAGAUACCCCCGUAAAG